UUGAACCUAUAAAAUAAAAAAUCCUGAUUGUUCUGAAACACCACAAAAAUACAAGGAAACGAAAAGUACCUUUUAGAAAGCUGAUGCCAAAAUUAGUGACUUUACUGCAAGAAAUCUCAAGACUCUCCAAACAUGCCAACUCUGGAAGCAAAUUGAAUAAAAUACAUUGUUCUGUUAAUUAUUGAAUCAUGUGUUGACUAAGACAACAAUGACUAUACUUUCAUAUGUACACAUCAC
RNAcentral lists this long non-coding RNA (237 nucleotides) under Arachis ipaensis. RNAcentral's name for it is "long non-coding RNA (AIPA_LNC002299)". Lineage: Eukaryota; Viridiplantae; Streptophyta; Magnoliopsida; Fabales; Fabaceae. The record is from RNAcentral.